UUGAAAGGGAAACGAUUGAAGUCAGUCGUACCGGCGGAUAAUCAACCUUUCGGCGUGAUUAUGUGGAGCGUGAGGACGUUAAUCACUUUCAUGCCUGCAUAUUCGUGUAUUUUGGGUGUACUUAUCUGUAUGGUAGGUUAACAUCAAUUUUGGUCGUUAUAAAAUGACUGGGGAAAUGUGGCUUUGAUUUCGUAUUGAAGUGUUAUAGUCUCUGGUAGAUAUAGUGACCGGGAUUGAGGAUUGCAACGGAUACCCUUUCGGGGCUACUCGUCUGAUCUCUGAUCGUUACUCUGGUGCUGAAAGCUUGCUUACGGUUAUCAAAGUUGAUGGUUAAUAAGUUAGAACGGGUUAAAUUCGUUAAGGAUGUUGACGUA
RNAcentral lists this ribosomal RNA (374 nucleotides) under uncultured Glomeromycotina. RNAcentral describes it as "LSU rRNA". Lineage: Eukaryota; Fungi; Glomeromycota. The record is from RNAcentral.